Molecule: transfer RNA, 67 nt
Filed under: Cryptobatrachus sp. TNHC-GDC 451
Lineage: Eukaryota; Metazoa; Chordata; Amphibia; Anura; Hemiphractidae
Description: tRNA-His
Rfam family: tRNA
About the family: Transfer RNA (tRNA) molecules are approximately 80 nucleotides in length.
Source: RNAcentral
GUAAAUAUAGUUUAUAAAAACCCUAGUUUGUGAAACUAGAAAUGGACCUUUACAAGUCCUAUUUACC